GCUUGCUCCUUUAGGUUAGCGGCGGACGGGUGAGUAACACGUGGGCAACCUGCCCUGCAGACUGGGAUAACUUCGGGAAACCGGAGCUAAUACCGGAUAACACCGAAAACCGCAUGGUUUUCGGUUGAAAGGCGGCUUUUAGCUGUCACUGCAGGAUGGGCCCGCGGCGCAUUAGCUAGUUGGUGAGGUAACGGCUCACCAAGGCGACGAUGCGUAGCCGACCUGAGAGGGUGACCGGCCACACUGGGACUGAGACACGGCCCAGACUCCUACGGGAGGCAGCAGUAGGGAAUCUUCCGCAAUGGACGAAAGUCUGACGGAGCAACGCCGCGUGAGCGAAGAAGGUCUUCGGAUCGUAAAGCUCUGUUGUCAGGGAAGAACAAGUACCGUUCGAACAGGGCGGUACCUUGACGGUACCUGACGAGGAAGCCACGGCUAACUACGUGCCAGCAGCCGCGGUAAUACGUAGGUGGCAAGCGUUGUCCGGAAUUAUUGGGCGUAAAGCGCGCGCAGGCGGUUCCUUAAGUCUGAUGUGAAAUCUCGCGGCUCAACCGCGAGCGGCCAUUGGAAACUGGGGAACUUGAGUGCAGGAGAGGGGAGCGGAAUUCCACGUGUA
Molecule: ribosomal RNA, 616 nt
Filed under: Aeribacillus pallidus
Lineage: Bacteria; Bacillati; Bacillota; Bacilli; Caryophanales; Bacillaceae
Description: bacterial SSU rRNA
Rfam family: Bacterial small subunit ribosomal RNA
Source: RNAcentral